AGUGAACGCUGGCGGUAGGCCUAACACAUGCAAGUCGAACGGCAGCACAGUAAGAGCUUGCUCUUACGGUUGGCGAGUGGCGGACGGGUGAGGAAUACAUCGGAAUCUACUUUUUCGUGGGGGAUAACGUAGGGAAACUUACGCUAAUACCGCAUACGACCUACGGGUGAAAGCAGGGGAUCUUCGGACCUUGCGCGAUUGAAUGAGCCGAUGUCGGAUUAGCUAGUUGGCGGGGUAAAGGCCCACCAAGGCGACGAUCCGUAGCUGGUCUGAGAGGAUGAUCAGCCACACUGGAACUGAGACACGGUCCAGACUCCUACGGGAGGCAGCAGUGGGGAAUAUUGGACAAUGGGCGCAAGCCUGAUCCAGCCAUACCGCGUGGGUGAAGAAGGCCUUCGGGUUGUAAAGCCCUUUUGUUGGGAAAGAAAAGAAGCAGGUUAAUAUCUCGCUGUUCUGACGGUACCCAAAGAAUAAGCACCGGCUAACUUCGUG
Molecule: ribosomal RNA, 492 nt
Filed under: uncultured bacterium
Lineage: Bacteria
Description: partial 16S ribosomal RNA
Rfam family: Bacterial small subunit ribosomal RNA
Source: RNAcentral